UAAUGACUCYCGSCAACGGAUAYCUCGGCUCUUGCAUCGAUSAAGAACGYAGCGAAAUGCGAUACUUGGUGUGAAUUGCAGAAUCCCGUGAACCAUCGAGUCUUUGAACGCAAGUUGCGCCCAAAGUCGUUAGGCUGAGGGCACGCCUGCCUGGGCGUCACGC
Molecule: ribosomal RNA, 163 nt
Filed under: Gesnouinia arborea
Lineage: Eukaryota; Viridiplantae; Streptophyta; Magnoliopsida; Rosales; Urticaceae
Description: 5.8S ribosomal RNA
Rfam family: 5.8S ribosomal RNA
About the family: 5.8S ribosomal RNA (5.8S rRNA) is a component of the large subunit of the eukaryotic ribosome. It is transcribed by RNA polymerase I as part of the 45S precursor that also contains 18S and 28S rRNA.
Source: RNAcentral